UGAAAUUCUGUUUAGUUACUUGGGAUGGAAGAUCUUAUGAGCUCAUGAUCUCUUCCUUGAAACAUGAAGCUGCAAAAUGAUUAUCCUGGAUUAAAAUUACCCUGGAGAAGUGUUAACCUGUAAGAGAAGAAGUUUCACAGAUCAAGAAUUGAAAGAUGCCUGUGCUGCCGUUUCAAGUUCACAUGCUGCAUGCAUGUUUCAUAGCACAGUUUUUCUAAAACAAAAGAAAAUGAGAAUACCGGUCUUCAUGCACACACAUAUCACCCUCUCCUCGCCCCACAAAAUGAAGGAAAAAAAAAAAAAAAAAAGAAGAAAAGAGAAAAGUCUAGGGCAGAGACAGGAAAGAAGAUUUGUUAGGAAACUCUGAAAAACACCAAAGAAGAAUGACGAAAGCUAAUUGAAAGUUUCCCAUACAGUAUACUAAAUAAUAUAGCAUAGAUCAGCAAGAAGGCAGCAUAACCUUUCCUGUCCUCAGACUAACUCAUCUUACAUCAGCCAGAGAGGGAUUACACCAGGCACUUUAUACCAGAAGGGUGAUGGACAGCCUGACAAGACAGCAAUUUCCUCUUUUUGGAGUAACUGGAGUAGUUUUA
Long non-coding RNA from Corapipo altera (White-ruffed manakin), 593 nucleotides. RefSeq lists it as uncharacterized. The transcript is spliced from 3 exons. The record is from RefSeq and is a predicted model, not a curated record. Lineage: Eukaryota; Metazoa; Chordata; Aves; Passeriformes; Pipridae.